Molecule: ribosomal RNA, 2386 nt
Filed under: Styloperla wui
Lineage: Eukaryota; Metazoa; Arthropoda; Insecta; Plecoptera; Styloperlidae
Description: eukaryotic LSU rRNA
Rfam family: Eukaryotic large subunit ribosomal RNA
Source: RNAcentral
UCCCGCGUAAUUUAAGCAUAUUAAUAAGCGGAGGAAAAGAAACUAACAAGGAUUCCCUUAGUAGCUGCGAGCGAACAGGGAUGAGCCCAGCACCGAAUCCUGCGCGGCACGCCCGCGUUUGGAAAUGUGGUGUUUGGGAGGACCCGAUCAUCUCGCACGCCCGCGCCAGUCAAAGUCCGUCUUGAAAGCGGCCACAGCCCGUAGAGGGUGCCAGGCCCGUAGGACGGUGUGGUGCGUGCGAAAGGGUCUCUCCCUAGAGUCGGGUUGCUUGAGAGUGCAGCUCUAAGCGGGUGGUAAACUCCAUCUAAGGCUAAAUAUGACCACAAGACCGAUAGCGAACAAGUACCGUGAGGGAAAGUUGAAAAGAACUUUGAAGAGAGAGUUCAAGAGUACGUGAAACCGUUCGGGGGUAAACGGGCGAAAUCUGGAAAAUCGAAGGGAGUGAUUCAAGCCCACCAACCGCCGUGUCGGUCCGUCGACGGCCGUCGAUGGUGCGUCCUUGGCUGCCGCGCGUGCCCGCAAGGGUGCCGUCGGUAGUCGGGCCACCACUUCCGCGUCGCCGACGCCGCCGGCGUUGGGCCGCACUUUACUCCUUGUAGUACGUCGCGACCCGUUGGGUGUUCGUCCAAGGCCCGCGCGUGGAGCCGGUGGAACCGUGUGCGCGACCUCGUUGCCCUCGUGGUGGCGAUGCGUCCGUCGCGAUCUCCUCCGACCGCUGCGGUGUCCCGACGAACUCGCCCGACGGUACAUAAAACGAUCGCGGGGCGAAAAAAAGAGCGCGUCGGUUUCGCGACCGACCCUCCGACGCCUUCGCGGGCGUCCGCCCCGUGUCUGCGACGCUCCAUUCAGAGCAUCACCCGACCCGUCUUGAAGCACGGACCAAGGAGUCUAACAUGUACGCGAGUCAUUGGGACCGCACUAAACCUAAAGGCGUAAUGAAAGUGAAGGCCGCGGCGAGAGCCCGGCCCACAGAGGGGGGAUGUUCGCGGAGACGCUCACGCGUCCCGCCGGACCGCACCCCCGGGGCGUCUCGUCGUCAUUGCGACGCAGCAGGCGCACCCAGAGCGUACACGUUGGGACCCGAAAGAUGGUGAACUAUGCCUGGCCAGGUCGAAGUCAGGGGAAACCCUGAUGGAGGACCGUAGCGAUUCUGACGUGCAAAUCGAUCGUCAGAGCUGGGUAUAGGGGCGAAAGACUAAUCGAACCAUCUAGUAGCUGGUUCCCUCCGAAGUUUCCCUCAGGAUAGCUGGCGCUCGAGAAGAGUGCGUGGGCCGUCGGGGCGACGGGCAACCGUCACCCGCGGUCGUACCAGUCUCAUCUGGUAAAGCGAAUGAUUAGAGGCCUUGGGGCCGAAACGACCUCAACCUAUUCUCAAACUUUAAAUGGGUGAGAUACUCGACUUGCUUGAACAACUCUCGUGAAGUCGAGUCUCGAGGAUGAACGAGUGCCAAGUGGGCCAAUUUUGGUAAGCAGAACUGGUGCUGUGGGAUGAACCAAACGUCGAGUUAAGGCGCCUAAAUCGAUGCUCAUGGGAUACCAUGAAAGGCGUUGGUUGCUUAAGACAGCAGGACGGUGGCCAUGGAAGUCGGAAUCCGCUAAGGAGUGUGUAACAACUCACCUGCCGAAGCAACUAGCCCUGAAAAUGGAUGGCGCUCAAGCAUCGUGCCUAUACUCGACCGUCACCGGCAAAAUCGCGAGGGGGUCGUCCCCCUCGCGAACGAGGUCGUGACGAGUAGGAGGGUCGCGACGGUGUGCGCAGAAGCGUCGGCCGUGAGGCUGCGUGGAGCCGCCGUCGGUGCAGAUCUUGGUGGUAGUAGCAAAUACACUAGCGAGGCCCUGGUGGACUGACGUGGAGAAGGGUUUCGUGUGAACAGCCGUUGCACACGAGUCAGUCGAUCCUAAGCCCCAGGAGAAAUCCGAUGUUGAUGCCGCGUCCCCAAGAACGUAAUUUUUCGUAAUUGGGAUGACCGCAUCGGGCGAAAGGGAAUCCGGUUCAUAUUCCGGAACCCGGCCGCGGAACCGACCAUGCGGGCCAAUGUCGACGCGCUGCGUUGCCGGAACGUUCCGAAAGGGGCGUUUACGGUGGCCGCGCGAGCGGCAACUCGUCGGGGUAACCCAAAAGGACCCGGAGACGCCGUCGGAUGAUCGAGGCAGAGUUUUCUGUUCUGUUUGAGCGUUCGAGUUCCCUGGAAUCGCCUAGCGCGGAGAUAGGGUUUGGAACGCGAAGAGCACCGCACUUGCGGCGGUGUCUCGAUCCAUCCCUCGGACCUUGAAAAUCCGGGAGAGGGCCACGUGGAGGUGUCGCGCCGGUUCGUACCCAUAUCCGCAGCAGGUCUCCAAGGUGAGCAGCCUCUAGUCGAUAGAAUAAUGUAGGUAAGGGAAGUCA